Extremus antarcticus is the source of this 103-nucleotide non-coding RNA. The record is from the annotation of a GenBank genome assembly. Lineage: Eukaryota; Fungi; Ascomycota; Dothideomycetes; Mycosphaerellales; Extremaceae.
GGCACUUUGGCGGAGUGGUUAACGCGCUGCCCUGCUAUUCCUUAAUUGGAGAGUGGAUAAGGCAGUUCCUUCGGGAGCGAGUGUUCGAAUCACUCAGGUGUCG